CUGUAGUAUUAGGUUAGUGCAAAAGUCAUCGCGGUUUUUGCCAUUGAAAGUAAUGGCAAAAACCGCGAUGACUUUUGCACCAACCUAAUAUAUUCA
Molecule: microRNA precursor, 96 nt
Filed under: Chlorocebus sabaeus (green monkey)
Lineage: Eukaryota; Metazoa; Chordata; Mammalia; Primates; Cercopithecidae
Description: miRNA (ENSCSAG00000022015.1)
Rfam family: mir-548 microRNA precursor family (bases 7-90)
Source: RNAcentral